AGAGUUUGAUCCUGGCUCAGAUUGAACGCUGGCGACAUGCUUAACACAUGCAAGUCGAACGGUAACAGCGGGAGCUUGGCUGACGAGUGGCGGACGGGUGAGUAACGCGUAGGAAUCUGCCUAAUAGAUGGGGACAACUCAGGGAAACUUGAGCUAAUACCGAAUACGCCCUACGGGGGAAAGCGGGGGAUCUUCGGACCUCGCGCUAUUAGAUGAGCCUGCGUUGGAUUAGCUAGUUGGUGAGGUAAUGGCUCACCAAGGCGACGAUCCAUAGCUGGUCUGCGAGGGCGAUCAGCCACACUGGGACUGAGACACGGCCCAGACUCCUACGGGAGGCAGCAGUGGGGAAUAUUGGACAAUGGGCGCAAGCCAGAUCCAGCAAUGCCGCGUGUGUGAAGAAGGCCUGCGGGUUGUAAAGCACUUUCAGUAGAGAAGAAAAGCCUCGGGUUAAUACCCCUGGGUCUUGACGUUACCUACAGAAGAAGCUCCGGCUAACUCCGUGCCAGCAGCCGCGGUAAUACGGAGGGAGCGAGCGUUAAUCGGAAUUACUGGGCGUAAAGCGCGCGUAGGCGGCUUUGUAAGUCGGAUGUGAAAGCCCUGGGCUCAACCUGGGAAUGGCAUUCGAUACUGCAUAACUAGAGUAUGGUAGAGGAUAGUGGAAUUCCAGGUGUAGCAGUGAAAUGCGUAGAUAUCUGGAGGAACAUCAGUGGCGAAGGCGGCUAACUGGUAUAACACUGACGCUGAGGUACGAAAGCGUGGGGAGCGAACGGGAUUAGAUACCCCGGUAGUCCACGCCCUAAACGAUGAGAACUAGCUGUUGGGUGAGUAAAUUCACUCAGUAGCGAAGCUAACGCGUUAAGUUCUCCGCCUGGGGAGUACGACCGCAAGGUUGAAACUCAAAGGAAUUGACGGGGGCCCGCACAAGCGGUGGAGCAUGUGGUUUAAUUCGAUGCAACGCGAAGAACCUUACCAUCCCUUGACAUCCUCAGAAUUUGUCGUAAUGAUUUAGUGCCUUCGGGAACUGAGUGACAGGGUGCUGCAUGGCUGUCGUCAGCUCGUGUCGUGAGAUGUUGGGUUAAGUCCCGCAACGAGCGCAACCCUUAUCCUUAGUUGCCAGCGAUUCGGUCGGGAACUCUAAGGAGACCGCCGGUGACAAACCGGAGGAAGGUGGGGAUGACGUCAAGUCAUCAUGGCCCUUAUGGGCAGGGCUACACACGUGCUACAAUGGCCGGUACAGAGGGUUGCCAACCCGCGAGGGGGAGCCAAUCCCAGAAAGCCGGUCGUAGUCCGCAUCGGAGUCUGCAACUCGACUCCGUGAAGUCGGAAUCGCUAGUAAUCGCGAAUCAGCAUUGUCGCGGUGAAUACGUUCCCGGGUCUUGUACACACCGCCCGUCACACCAUGGGAGUUGGUUGCACCAGAAGUGGGUAGACUAACCUUCGGGAGGUCGCUCACCACGGUGUGGUCAAUGACUGGGGUGAAGUCGUAACAAGGUAGCCCUAGGGGAACCUGGGGCUGGAUCACCU
This 1524-nucleotide ribosomal RNA is filed under the name uncultured prokaryote. Its description in RNAcentral is "partial 16S ribosomal RNA". It matches the Rfam family "Bacterial small subunit ribosomal RNA". The record is from RNAcentral.